This 22-nucleotide microRNA is filed under the name Ornithorhynchus anatinus (platypus). RNAcentral describes it as "oan-miR-1361-3p". The record is from miRBase by way of RNAcentral. Lineage: Eukaryota; Metazoa; Chordata; Mammalia; Monotremata; Ornithorhynchidae.
UGACCUAGUGGGAAACCAUAGC